Molecule: ribosomal RNA, 468 nt
Filed under: uncultured bacterium
Lineage: Bacteria
Description: partial 16S ribosomal RNA
Rfam family: Bacterial small subunit ribosomal RNA
Source: RNAcentral
GACGAACGCUGGCGGCGUGCUUAACACAUGCAAGUCGAACGGAAAGGCCCUGCUUUUGUGGGGUGCUCGAGUGGCGAACGGGUGAGUAACACGUGAGUAACCUGCCCUUGACUUUGGGAUAACUUCAGGAAACUGGGGCUAAUACCGGAUAGGAGCUCCUGCUGCAUGGUGGGGGUUGGAAAGUUUCGGCGGUUGGGGAUGGACUCGCGGCUUAUCAGCUUGUUGGUGGGGUAGUGGCUUACCAAGGCUUUGACGGGUAGCCGGCCUGAGAGGGUGACCGGCCAAAAUGGGGAUGGGGUACGGGCCAGGAUCCUACGGGGGGGCAGCGGGGGGAAUAUUGCACAAUGGGCGGAAGCCUGAUGCAGCAACGCCGCGUGCGGGAUGACGGCCUUCGGGUUGUAAACCGCUUUCGCCUGUGACGAAGCGUGAGUGACGGUAAUGGGUAAAGAAGCACCGGCUAACUACGUG